UACAGAGGUCUCAACCGUUGUUCGGAUUCAUUGGGCGUAAAGGGUGCGUAGGCGGUCGGGUAAGUCGGAUGUGAAAUCCCAGGGCUCAACCCUGGAACUGCAUUCGAUACUGCCUGGCUAGGGUACUGGAGAGGAGACUGGAAUUUACGGUGUAGCAGUGAAAUGCGUAGAUAUCGUAAGGAAGACCAGUGGCGAAGGCGAGUCUCUGGACAGUUACCGACGCUGAGGCACGAAGGUCAGGGGAGCAAACGGG
This 253-nucleotide ribosomal RNA is filed under the name uncultured bacterium. RNAcentral describes it as "partial 16S ribosomal RNA". It matches the Rfam family "Bacterial small subunit ribosomal RNA", at positions 524 to 776 of the family's 1533-position model. The record is from RNAcentral.